UUUCCCCGUUGUUUGUUUACCAUGUCAGCUGGCGAGGCGAGAGCAUGCUGGCGAAGAUCCUGUUCCUUCUCGCCUCUGUAGCGCCCUUCCUCGUGCUCCUGCAGGGUUCCUGGGCCAGCGAGAAGGCCUUUAACAUCUUUCGGUAUCCUCCUAAUAAUCUGGACAGGAAAUAUGGCCGGGUUUCCGAGCACGAGAGGAGAGAGUUGGCCAAUGCUACGAGGGCCAUGUUCUACUUCGGCUACGAGAACUACAUGAAGCACGCAUACCCUAAGGACGAGCUCAACCCCAUCUACUGCAGCGGGAGAGGGCCCGACUGGGAGAAUCCGUCCAACAUCAACAUCAAUGAUAUCCUGGGAGAUUAUUCUCUGACCCUCAUUGACGCCUUAGACACGCUUGCAAUUCUUGGAGAUGCCGUUGAGUUCCGGAGAGCCGUGCAGCUGGUUAUUGAGAAUGUCACCUUCGACAAGAAUUCAACGGUGCAGGUCUUCGAGGCUAAUAUUAGGCUUCUGGGAGCCUUACUGUCAGCCCACCUCCUCAUCCUUGACAAGAGCAAGCCCUUUGGUGACCUGGAGCCAGAAUGGUACGAUGGCGAACUCCUUGAGAUGGCCUCAGAUCUUGCCUCAAGACUGCUUCCAGCCUUUGACAAUUCCAAAACAGGUCUCCCCCACCCUAGGGUGAAUUUGCGUGAUGGUGUGCCCAAGGGUAGUCGGACGGACACGUGCACAGCAGGAGCAGGAACUCUCUUAGUAGAAUUUGGAGUUCUUAGUCGCCUCAUUGGAGACCCAGUGUAUGAGAUGUCAGCCCGGCGAGCCAACAAAGUGCUGUGGAACCUGCGGAAUGCAAAGACUGGGCUCUUCGGCAACGUGGUGGAUGUGGACACGGGCAAGUGGAUGGGGGAGCUGAGUGGAGUGGGGGCUGGGCUGGACAGCUUCUAUGAGUACCUCCUCAAGGCUUUCAUUCUUUUUGGGGAGGAAGAUGAUUAUUCAAUGUUCAAUGAGACAUACACACUCGUCAAGCAGUAUAUGAGGCGUGGUCGGCCACAUUGUAAUUCUGGGUUUGGCGAGCAUCCUCUGUAUGUGAAUGUUGAUAUGAAGAAUGGAGGAACACAAACCACUUGGAUAGAUUCGCUUCAGGCAGCAUUUGCUGGAGUGCAGGUUUUAGCUGGAGACAUGGAAGAGGCCAUUUGCACACAUGCCCUGUACUACACAAUAUGGAAGAAGUAUGGGGUUCUGCCUGAGAGGUUCAACUGGCAACGCAUUUCUCCGGAUGUGAUGUUUUACCCUUUGAGACCAGAGUUUGUGGAGUCAACCUAUCUCCUAUAUCAGCAAGCUGUCUCAGUAGCAUUGGAAGGGAAUGUAGGAGAAGCCUUAGAUUUUGCUUGCUAUCACACAGGCCACACGCAACCCCUUCUACCUGCACGUGGGCAGAGAUAUCCUGACGUCACUGAAUAACCUGACGCGGGCAGAGUGUGGCUAUGCAACCGUCCACUCAGUGCUUGACAUGACGCUCGAGGAUCGGAUGGAGUCCUUCUUCCUUUCAGAGACUUGCAAAUACUUGUACCUUCUCUUCGACAUAGACAACCCAGUGAACUUGAAGUCCCAUCAGUACAUGUUCACAACCGAGGGCCACAUCUUGCCCCUGGGACCUUGGCUGCGUAAGAAGAGAUGGGAUGUUGACCUCUUCCAAAAUGCAGAAACUGUGAUA
Molecule: unclassified non-coding RNA, 1704 nt
Filed under: Penaeus monodon (black tiger shrimp)
Lineage: Eukaryota; Metazoa; Arthropoda; Malacostraca; Decapoda; Penaeidae
Description: eR degradation-enhancing alpha-mannosidase-like protein 1, transcript variant X1
Source: RNAcentral